This is a long non-coding RNA of Mobula hypostoma (lesser devil ray), 4450 nucleotides long. RefSeq lists it as uncharacterized. Lineage: Eukaryota; Metazoa; Chordata; Chondrichthyes; Myliobatiformes; Myliobatidae. The transcript is spliced from 3 exons. The record is from RefSeq and is a predicted model, not a curated record.
ACUAGAAUUAUAAACCAUAGAUUAGGGGUUAAAAGUGAAAUACUUAAGGUGAACUUCUUCAGUCAGAGGGUGGUGUAAGUGUGGAAAGAGCCAUCUGCAGAACUGGCAAAUGCAACAUUUAAAAUAAGUCCAUGGAUGGAAGAGGUAUGGAGGACAUUGGUCUAGUUGCUGGUCAAUGGGACUAGGCAAAAUAACAAACUAGAGAAAAUCUGUAGAAGCUGGAAAUCCAAGCAACACACACAAAAAGCUGGAGGAACUCAGCAGCCUAGGCAACAUCUAUGGAAAAGACUACAGUCGACGUUUCGGCGGAGACCCUUCAUGAAUCCUGAUAAUAACAGAUCAGUUCAGAGUAGAUAGGAUGAAGGACAUGUUUCUGUGCUACUGUGCUCCAUGAUUUUAUAAUUGGCAGGCAUUUGAGAUAGUUGACGGGCAUUUGAGAUAGUUGACGGGCAUUUGAUUGAGAAAAAAUAUGGGAAAAUGGAAUCCACUGUGAUCCACCAUGGACAAUAGGCCAAGCGCUAUUUUUCCGUGCAAUAAGAGUGCAUGAGGAUGUGGGCAUUUGUGAGCAUAAACUUUAGGCCAGUACUUUAGUGCUAUACUGAGUGAUUACUGCAUUUUGAAUGAGAUGCAAGUGGCUCUCUGAGGAGCAAAAGAGUUCACCUGAUAUCCUAGCUAAAGUUGUUGAUUUUGGGACCUUACUGGGUAUAAAUUGCCCUCUUUACUUUUUUUUUUGCAUCAUUAAAGAACUCAGUUUCUUAGUACUACCAAGUCACCACAUACAGGUCUUUCAUCAGAUUAAGAAAUAUAAAUUGUACUGUGCUUCAUACACAAAUUCUUUAUUUCAUCAUAUUGUUUAUUUUAGGUACAGUAUGAAGUAUCGGUUGCCCUGACUCUGGCUGAUUCAGCAAUUCCUAGCAGUAGAAAAGGCAAAUAUAUUUAUUAUCCAGGUACAUAUAGAUGUCACCGUAUACUACCUCAAUAUUUGUUUUCUUGCAGGCAUUUGCAGGAAAACAAAGAAAUAAAAUUAAAUCCGUGAAAAACUAUACUUAUACAAAGACUGACUAUCAAUGUGCAAAAGAAGACCAAUAAUGCAAUUAAAUAAUACUGAGAACAGGAAGUGUGUUCAUUCGUUGUGGAAUCAGCUCAGAGUUGAGGUGAGUGAAGCUAUUCACGCCAGUUUAGGAGCCUGAUGGUUGAACAGUAAUAGCUGUUCCCGAACCUGGAGUUGUGGGUCCUAAGGCUCCAAAGAACAAUGGGUUGAUUUAGCAGCAGGAGCUUAACCCUUUAACAAGCUUUAAAACAAAUGCAUAAACAUUGCAGUAAAUUAAGUACACAAAAAAUGUACAAAUAAAACUUUGUGCAAAAAUAGUUUUGAAAAGUUUAUAGGCAAUUAGUUAAGUUGAAGAGCAUUUAAAAAUUCAGAACAUUAAGUGAGCUUUUUCUAAGCAUUAUUCUGGAACUCCUUAACAUCCUUCAGCAGAAAGAAAGAUGACAAAAAGAUAGCAGGAAGCUCAUUAUAUUAAUGCCAGAAUAAUCACAAUUAUAAAAAGGAAAGCUUCAGCUCUGAAAUAACAAGCAAAACAUCAAAAAGGAGAACUUCAAACUAGAUGAUUAAAGUUAGACACACAAAAUGCUGGAGGAACAUAGCAAGCCAGACAGCAGCUAUGGAGGGGAUUAAACAGUCAAUACUUUGGGUGGAAAACAAAUGUUGAAGGAACUCAGCAGGUCAGGCUUCUAUGGAGGGCACAAACAUUCAACACUUCAGGCCCAGAUCCUUCAUCAGGUCUCGGUCCGAAGCAUCGACUGUUUAUUUCCCUUCAUAAAUGCUGUCAGAUUUGCUGAGCUCCUCCAGCAUUUUGUCAAUAUUCCCAGGAUCUGCAGAAUACCUUGUGAUAAUAUGUUGAUGACUGAAGUUACAUAGGACAGAGUACGGCUGGUAGAGCCCCUUGUACUUUCAUUUCUGCUUUUGCGGUUCUGUUAUUGCUGUGGAAUCUCGAUCUGAACUCGCUGUGAUGCCAGACCAUGACUCACAAUGACCAAGCAAUCCAAUGCACACUGAAAGGACCUGAUUUUAUAGUUCAGGUUCCAGUCAGGUCAGCUUUAGAAAACAAGACACAGGUCCUCAAACUGGAAACCACCUCAGAUUUGGCUGGGACAGCAAUAGCGGGCUCUUUAUAAAUAACUAUGGUAAUGAAGUCACCUGAUGUUUCACUGCUUUUGAGCAAAGUUGAGCCAUUAGCAUUUAUUCACAGAUACAGUUAGUACAACAAAUGGUUUCUGUACAUUGGCUGAGCUAUUUAAGGGAGGGUUUGGCAGAAAAUAUGCAGACUAGAGUUGAAAGUCGGCUGAAAGGGGCUGGUACAACAAGUAGGUGUGAAACUGGCUGGAUCUAUGUAAGAAAUUUAUGUUACUUUCAUCGCCGGUGCCGACUCACACUCAGCAUAAUGAAGUGGUCUCCGAGGACUUCUGGAACAAGUUGGCUUGACAAGACUGCCUACAGAGGAGAGUUUGACACCCUGACACAGUGGUGCCAAGAUAACAACCUCUCUGUGUCCAAAAAAACAAAUGAGCUGAUUGUGGAUUACAGGAGGAGUGGAGAACAGGCUCGCCCCGAUCAACAUCAAUGGGACUGUAGUUGAGAGGUUCAACAGGUACUUCAACACUGAAAAGAUGUCAACAGUCAUGUGAUAAUGAUGGAACAUCUAUCAAGCCUGACAUUGCAAUCAAUGUAUAAACUCUGAAACAUGGUUUUAAUCAAUGUAGAAACUCUGAAACUCUGCAAAACCCCUUUAUCUAACUGUCAAGUGAAUGUCAAUUAUAUGAAUUGUUCCAAUUGAUACUAAAAGCUCUCUUACCAAUGUAAAUGUCACAGCAUAACAGAGGCUGAAGGUUACAAUUUGACUUUAGUGUACAGCAAACUCAAACAGCACAAGAUUAUUCCAUGAUAAAACAUCUAAGGUUGUGAAAUAUGGCUUAUGAUAUAACAGCAUUAAAAGCAAUUUUUGGGGUUAUGUGCCUGUAGACGAAUAAAUGAAAGAGUUAAUGGAAUUCUAUUGAGCUUUCUUGUCAAACAUAAACUAAAUGACCAUUUCCCUUGAAAUACAUCCAUGUUUGAUAGCUUUAAACACAGUCUCUAGUUGUACUUUGCCUCUGAAGUUCCUCCAAUUUACUUCAAUGGAAUGAGUUUGAAGGACAGAGUACAAUGUGACUACAUAGCAUGUUUAGCACCACUGAUCAGCAAUUAACUUCAGGACAUUCGUGUAGCUUAAAUUAUGUUCUGAAUCAUUGUAACUGAAAAACAAUUUCAAAUAACUUUAAACACAAAGAUAUUAUUUCAAAUGUUUGUUCACAACUGACUUAUUUUUAAACCCGUUUUAACUUUCCUUAUCAUCAAGAUCCAGUUUUACCACAUCCCCCCUCUGGUCCUUUGCACACUUCCACAUGCCACAAAGUCCUUCAUUUCACAAGACUUAGAUUUCCUGGAGUUUGCUCUUGGCCUAAUUUUUGGCCUUAAAAGCUGCCUCCUGCUUUUGUUGGUGUUGUUCCUUUCUGCGUCCUAUGGCACAUCGGGCAGCAACCUUGCUGUUUCACUAGUUUUUUUUGGUCUGUUUUUUUUAAAUGAAGCCGAGUUGCUAGCUUGACUGUCAUGGCAGCACGGAUGGACAGCGUACAAGGAACCAGCCGGAUUUGAACCCAGGACCACUCGCCUCGAAGUCCAGUGUGAGUGCCCUUACACCACCAGUCGGUUCCCUCAUGUUCUUCUUUUAUAUAUAAACAUUAUCACAUUCAGUCAAGUUGGUCCAUGCUCUACCUGUGACUAAUUCCAAUUCUCUUCAUUUAAUUCUAAUAACUGAAAAGGAAGAAGUGUUGCGAACCAGACAAAGAUCAAACCUGUCUUUGUGUUGAUAUCAUCCCCUAAUGCAGCAGGAGUUCCCAAACUUUUUAUUCUAUGGAUCAAUACCAUUAAAGCAAGGGGUCUGUGAACCCCACAUUGGGGAUCCUGUUCUAAUGCAAUAAGCUGAAGAGCGGGUCACAAAAAAAAAGUGAAAGCAUCAAUUGACCAUAGAUUAAUGGAUGUUUCCCAACCUGCAUCAAUGACCACCCAUGCAUCAUCUUCCUCAUGUGAUAUGAUAGAAUAGUCUAUGGAAAUAAUUUGGAAGAUGUGUAUCUCGGAUGGCUGAUGGUUGGUUUCAGUGUGCUGUUGAUUGUAGUGUGUCCUAAAGGCCAAGAAUUCGGAGGACACACCACAAUCAAGAGCGCACUGAUGAUAUCUCCUUGCAGGGUGAUGAAACAUUUGCAAGGAAAUUCCUAAGAUCAGAGAACAACUCAACCAAACCAGCAGAGUCAGCAUAUAAAUAUGGAUACACGUAUAAGCCACACUCAGCAACUGAAUAAAGAUGAAAGAUUGUAUUUAAAUUCUGGCUGGUGUCCAUUACUUUCUAAAACAGGA